This 362-nucleotide ribosomal RNA is filed under the name uncultured Desulfobulbus sp. RNAcentral describes it as "bacterial SSU rRNA". It matches the Rfam family "Bacterial small subunit ribosomal RNA", at positions 1020 to 1382 of the family's 1533-position model. Lineage: Bacteria; Pseudomonadati; Thermodesulfobacteriota; Desulfobulbia; Desulfobulbales; Desulfobulbaceae. The record is from RNAcentral.
GGAAGAAUCUGGAGACAGGUGCUGCAUGGCUGUCGUCAGCUCGUGUCGUGAGAUGUUGGGUUAAGUCCCGCAACGAGCGCAACCCUUGCCUUUAGUUGCCAGCAGUUCGGCUGGGCACUCUAAAGGGACUGCCGGUGUUAAACCGGAGGAAGGUGGGGAUGACGUCAAGUCCUCAUGGCCUUUAUGACCAGGGCUACACACGUACUACAAUGGCCGAUACAAAGGGCAGCGACACUGCGAGGUGAAGCCAAUCCCGUAAAAUCGGUCUCAGUCCGGAUUGGAGUCUGCAACUCGACUCCAUGAAGUUGGAAUCGCUAGUAAUCGUGAAUCAGAAUGUCACGGUGAAUACGUUCCCGGGCCUU